CAAAAUGUGGCUAAGAUAGAAAAGCAUCUCCCUUACACUGAGAAGACACCCGUGCAAAUCGGAUCAUUUUGAC
Molecule: transfer RNA, 73 nt
Filed under: Trichogaster fasciata (banded gourami)
Lineage: Eukaryota; Metazoa; Chordata; Actinopteri; Anabantiformes; Osphronemidae
Description: tRNA-Val
Rfam family: tRNA
About the family: Transfer RNA (tRNA) molecules are approximately 80 nucleotides in length. Their secondary structure includes four short double-helical elements and three loops (D, anti-codon, and T loops). Further hydrogen bonds mediate the characteristic L-shaped molecular structure. tRNAs have two regions of fundamental functional importance: the anti-codon, which is responsible for specific mRNA codon recognition, and the 3' end, to which the tRNAs corresponding amino acid is attached (by aminoacyl-tRNA synthetases). tRNAs cope with the degeneracy of the genetic code in two manners: having more than one tRNA (with a specific anti-codon) for a particular amino acid; and 'wobble' base-pairing, i.e. permitting non-standard base-pairing at the 3rd anti-codon position.
Source: RNAcentral